RNAcentral lists this ribosomal RNA (253 nucleotides) under uncultured bacterium. RNAcentral describes it as "partial 16S ribosomal RNA". It matches the Rfam family "Bacterial small subunit ribosomal RNA", at positions 524 to 776 of the family's 1533-position model. The record is from RNAcentral.
UACGGGGGGGGCAAGCGUUGUUCGGAAUUACUGGGCGUAAAGGGCUCGUAGGCGGCCAACUAAGUCAGACGUGAAAUCCCUCGGCUUAACCGGGGAACUGCGUCUGAUACUGGAUGGCUUGAGUCCGGGAGAGGGAUGCAGAAUUCCAGGUGUAGCGGUGAAAUGCGUAGAUAUCUGGAGGAAUACCGGUGGCGAAGGCGGCAUCCUGGACCGGCAUUGACGCUGAUGAGCGAAAGCUAGGGGAGCAAACGGG